AAUAUAUUUUUACUGAAAAGAUAUAUAUCUAUAAAAAAACCAGCCUCAGCAAAUCAAAUUUUACAGUCUCAAAUUUUACAUUUAAUUAACCAAGUCAAUUUUACAAAUUCUAAUUCCUUAACAUUUGUUAAAAGCAUUGUUAAAAGCAUGAAAACUUAUAUGAAAAUAACAAGGUUACUGAUUAUCACUGAGAAAGAAAAAAUAUUUCUCUUAAAGGAUUGUGCAUCCUCACCUUUUAUGCUACUACUGAUAGUCCAUUUAAAAGUCAACUUAGCUCUAGAAUAGAUAUCAGAAGACCCUUCAAAAUAAGUAAUACUUGAGAUCCGGGACCAUGUCACAUUUGUCUUUGCAUCCUUGGCCUGUAAUACAAAUGCCAGGCCCUAUUAAAUACAAUUGAUUGAUUUAUUGAUUAGUUUCACCACUAGCCAUGUACCUAGAACUAUAGGUUAUUCUUUUCACUUCCUGUGUUAUGUUUAUUCUACUGUGAAAAUAUAUUGGUUUGGUAUUACAUAGUAAGUUACUCUUUUGUUUGCUUGAUUAAACAAAGUGAUUAUUCUUUCACUUAUAAUAUCAUUGGGUAUCAACGAGGACUGAUCAAUAGGUGUAAACCCAUAUCAGUUGCUGAGACAAUGCAUACCCUGCUUUGACAGUUUUGUUUCCCAUUUGCCACAGUCAUGCACUUCAUUCGUUUCAUGUAUAGGUUCCAGGGAAGUUUUCAUUAAGUGGAACAGCUAUAUCAAUAAAUUUUACUACAUUUCUAAUUAAAUAGCUGGAUGUCUGGACUUUUUUGCAAGGUUUAUUGAUCAAUUCUUAUGGCUGUCUUCCAAUCUAUCUUUUAUCACUUACUUUGGAGUACAUUUUUCGGAGUUCUGUAAUUUAUAUGUAGUACAGUGAUAAUCUCAUUAUUGACCCACUAACCAAAGUUCAAGGCAGUCUUCUAGUCUCAGCCUCGAAAUAAAAGAAACAGUAAGGAAGAGGAUGUACCUACCCUGUCACUUUAGUUUAACUUUUUCUUUAGUAAAUACACAUCAUUUACAACAGGUUUUCUCAAGCAUUAGUAACAGUCACUGGGCUCAAACUUUCCAGUGAAAGGGCUUUAUCUGUAUCUCUGGGCAAGUGCUUCCAGAAGAGAUUCAGUUAGCCAGGUUUAGAAAUCCUUGAUAUACCUAAGUCACUGCCCUGGUUUCUCUUUAUUAUCAUGGAGCCAUAACAUGGAGCCAUAACUCAGCCAUAAAGAAGAAUGAAAUCUUACCAUUUGCUACGAUAUGGAUGGACCUAGAGAACAUUAUGCUAAGUGAAAUAAGUCAGACAGAGAAAGACAAAUACCAUAUGAUCUCACUUAUAUGUG
Molecule: long non-coding RNA, 1348 nt
Filed under: Rhinolophus ferrumequinum (greater horseshoe bat)
Lineage: Eukaryota; Metazoa; Chordata; Mammalia; Chiroptera; Rhinolophidae
Description: lncRNA (ENSRFEG00010020316.1)
Source: RNAcentral